Molecule: ribosomal RNA, 453 nt
Filed under: Triticum aestivum (bread wheat)
Lineage: Eukaryota; Viridiplantae; Streptophyta; Magnoliopsida; Poales; Poaceae
Description: partial small subunit ribosomal RNA
Source: RNAcentral
AUGAGGGAGGCGGAAACUCAGCUGCCUGAGGCGGGCGGCCCUUUGCCUCCUUCGGUGGCCGGCUCUUCACCGCCGCCGCCCCUUGCCCUGAUGGGUAGCGGCCCUUUGCCGAUGCCGGUGGCCGGAUCUACGCCGCCGCCGCCGCCGCCCCAUGCCUCGACGGGGGUGUUGCUGGGUGGAUCGCUACAUCCGAUUGCCUUGAUGGCGUCGGAACGAAAGGAGGGGGCGUCGGGAUCGCGAGCCAAACGAGAUCCCUCGGCGCUGAAAGCGAUCGGCCAGGGCCAAGGGAGAUUCACGCAAUGGCGUGUUCACUUCCUGGCCGAGACGGAUCCUGGCAAUUGGAUCGAAGGCCUCGUCCGUCUCUCCCAUCAUUCGCGCUGGAUGGCUUUAUUCGAUUUGGAGAAUGAUGUCCUAGCCGGCGACUACUUGCCGGCGGUGACUCGAUCGAGGUAA